UCCGUCAACGGUCGCCGGCAAGCCGCAGCCCAGUCGCCGCGCGUCUCGCUCAACUAGGCAUCCAACAAAUUGCACCAGGCGCGGCGCCGGCGGGGGUACCUUCGGACCCAUGACUGGGUUAUCGGUCAGGCCUACUAGCGUACUCUGCACUCUGCAGUAGCUCCUCUCUCGUCCCCGACCAGUCUACAGCCAACACCCGAGCAGCGUGUCCUCGCCGCCCCGCGUUGGUCGCUCGGUCCCGAUCGGCCGCGUGCGUGCCAAGUCAGUGGUGUACGGCGCAAUGCCAAUCCCGAGGACCGGAGAAUGCGGCGUGGCGGCGGCGCCGUCUCGGAAGCCGCGCGCUCAGGGUGUUCGUGGAAAUGCCGCCGCCAGGACCCGUCACUUGAGGACUCCAUGGAUGGAUACGGAUACGGAAUUACGGAUACGGUGACUGUCGAAUGCCUCGUGUGAAUGGGCGCGUCGUGCAGGAGCAGGUCGAGGACGUACGGGCGCACGGGCGCGUGGUGCAUGGACCUGGUCACCUCGCCGGGUCAAACUGCAUGCAUGGUUACUCCUACUUAGCACAGGAAAAGGCGCGUAUCUCUGAAAGCCACAAUUGCCGAAGAUCUGCAAGACCCGAUUGGUGUGAGAUAGUAUGCAAAGCGCAUGAUCCUAAAGGCGCCUACAAUCUAGAGCAAUCAUCGGGUUGACAGUCAAGGUGUGUACAUGGUUUGGACUUAGGCGCAAGUGGAGGCAGGAAAAAUAAGAAAGCAAUUGUUGUGGUGGUGACAGGGCGAGGGCGACCUGGUGGCGGGUGCCUUCUGACUGGCUGCUUUGGCCUGUGGUGUUACGUUCUGUUGUCCUUGGUCCUUGCUGUUGAUUCAGUGAUGUGUAUGGCUGUUUCCCAUGGCCCAGGUUCCAGAGGCGCAUGAUGGAGCUUUGGUCCUCGGGUCACGGCUCAUGUUGCUGACCGGAAUUCAAAAGCACUGGAAGUUAACAGCCAUGGUGGAGGUGCUUCUGUGAAGUGUGAACGUGGCCUAUCAAAUUGAUUCAUUCAGGUGGUGAUGGCCUAUCAAACAGAGACAAGAACAACUGUCGCCAAAAAUUUACUAACCCUCCAUUUGGGUGUGUAGUAACUGUGUAUGGUCAUCGUGGUUUUGUACCUCCUCUGUUUGGGUUUGUUUACCAGUCGCCAACAAUUUACUGACUGACUGUAGCAUAGUCAAAAUCGCUAUGGUAAAAAGGUGAUGUCAAAAUAGCAUAGUCAAAAAUUACUUCCCCUCCGUUUGGGUUUAGUUUCUUCGACAUUACCCUUUUUUUUAAUUGGUGAUGAUGUCGAAAACGGAGGGGAAGUGAUUUUUUAUUGAUUGAGAUUAUGUUGAUGAUUAUGCUUACUUGGUUAUUACAGUAUGAGCGCAAUUGCACAUUUUA
Sorghum bicolor (sorghum) is the source of this 1410-nucleotide long non-coding RNA. RefSeq lists it as uncharacterized. The transcript has 2 exons. The record is from RefSeq and is a predicted model, not a curated record. NCBI's taxonomy places the organism in Eukaryota, Viridiplantae, Streptophyta, Magnoliopsida, Poales, Poaceae.